CUCAGUAGUCAUACGCUCGUCUCAAAGAUUAAGCCAUGCAUGUGUAAGUGUAAAUGUACUAGUUUGGAACUGCGAAUGGCUCAUUAUAUCAGUUAUAGUUUAUUUGGUGAAGUGUACUACUUGGAUAACCGUAGUAAUUCUAGGGCUAAUACAUGAGAAAGUCCUCUGGUGAGGUGUGUUUAUUAGAAUGAAAACCAUAUGCUUCGGCAUGAUAGUGAGUAAUAGUAACCUAUCGUAUCGCAUGCUUAAUGUAGCGAUGAGUCUUUCAAGUUUCUGCCCUAUCAGCUUUCGAUGGUAGUAUAUGGGCCUACCAUGGCAGUAACGGGUAACGAAGAAUUUGGGUUCGAUUUCGGAGAGGGAGCCUGAGAGAUGGCUACCACAUCCAAGGAAGGCAGCAGGCGCGUAAAUUACCCAAUCCUGACACAGGGAGGUAGUGGCAAUAAAUCACAAUGCGGGACUAUCAGUCUUGCAAUUGGAUUGAGAACAAUGUACAACUCUUAUCGAUAAGCCAUUGGAGGGCAAGUCUGGUGCCAGCAGCCCG
Molecule: ribosomal RNA, 541 nt
Filed under: Blastocystis sp.
Lineage: Eukaryota; Bigyra; Opalinata; Blastocystidae
Description: SSU rRNA
Rfam family: Eukaryotic small subunit ribosomal RNA
Source: RNAcentral